Molecule: ribosomal RNA, 372 nt
Filed under: uncultured organism
Description: bacterial SSU rRNA
Rfam family: Bacterial small subunit ribosomal RNA
Source: RNAcentral
CGUAGGUGGCAAGCGUUGUCCGGAAUUAUUGGGCGUAAAGCGCGCGCAGGCGGAAUAAUAAGUCUGUCGUGAAAGUGCGGGGCUCAACCCCGUGAUGGCAAUGGAAACUGUUAUUCUUGAGUGCAGGAGAGGAAAGUGGAAUUCCCAGUGUAGCGGUGAAAUGCGUAGAUAUUGGGAGGAACACCAGUGGCGAAGGCGACUUUCUGGACUGUGUCUGACGCUGAGGCGCGAAAGCCAGGGUAGUGAACGGGAUUAGAUACCCCGGUAAUCCUGGCCGUAAACGAUGGGUACUAGGUGUAGGGGGUAUCGACCCCUCCUGUGCCGGAGUUAACGCAAUAAGUACCCCGCCUGGGGAGUACGGCCGCAAGGUUG